ACCCAAUCCAAUCCACCGUAACCCAGCUCCGUCGUUGCUUCCUCGUUCGAUUUCUUCUCCGCCUCGCGCACCGACGCCGACGCCCUGCCUCUCCCCUCGCUCGUCCACGGUGGUCGGAGCCUCUAGGUGCGCAGAGGAGUGGACAAAGCUGAGAUAUAUAGCAUUGCACUAUCACCAAACCUGCAGUGGUUGGCAGUGUCUAGUGACAAAGGCACAAUGCAUAUUUUCAGUUUGAGAGCGAGGCCUAGAGGGAAAGAUGCAAGUAAUGGGAAAUCUGCAAUUGCUGGUCGACAAAUGGAUCGUAGUUACUCAUCUGGUUCUGUUGGGUCCAAUGUGAGCUCAUCAUUAUCUUUCAUGAAAGGGAUUCUCCCCAAAUAUUUCAGUUCGGAAUGGUCAUUUGCUCAGUUCCGUUUACCCGAAGUCACACGCUAUAUUACAGCAUUUGGAGAUCAAACCACUGUGAUGAUGAUCGGUCUGGAUGGCAGGUACUCUGUUUUUUCACAAAAAUUGUUCAACGAAGUACAAGAAAACUAGCAUUUUCACGAACACUGGUAACCAAAUGAGAUUCGUUCCAUGCCUCUUUUUCUAUUAGUGGCAUUGCUUAUUUCUAAAAAGACAUGAUUACAAGGAAAAAAGAAGCUAAGAGCUAUAUAGUUUCUACCAAUUUGAUGCCACCUUGAUGUUUUCUUCUAAUACAAAAUGAUGCCCGUGAAGUCGUUCUACUUGGACAUUCAUGAUCAUAAAUUGACAUAGCACCGUGUAGUUUAGAUUUUUUCGAAAAGGAGGACAGCCCCCUUUUUGGGAAAAAAUCUAACUGCACACUGCAUCUCAUUUAGGUUAGCUGGUGGGUAAAUAAUUUCCGCAACGGCAUAAGUGGUCACGAUAGAUGGGCCUUGAUGACUUAUUCUUCGUUAGCUAAUGCAUUAUCUUGUACUUGCAUAUGCUGGGAUUUGAUUUUCACUAAUUGCAUCGGUCUUUUUUUGUGUGUGGCAUGUUUAGUUUCUAUAGGUGCAACUUUGACCCUGUAAAUGGCGGGAAGAUGGUGCUGGAUGAAUUCAUCCGGUUUAUGAAACCCAGCAUGUCCCGUUCCAGGACUCCGAACACCUGAGCAGCUGAGUUUCAUGGCCAUGGCGGUCAUGUCAUUCUCUAAGUACAUGUACAUAUAAGAUUUCACCAAGUCCACCAUGUAUAUAGUCGCGGGUUAAGGAGAAGUGGGUAUUCAGUGCCAUCUUUUUCCUUCAAGGUUAGUCCCAUGUGUGUUUUUGUUGACAAAUCUUUGGCGUCGCAUUGCCGAUGAUGAUCAAAUCCUUUUGGUUUGGGGAAACCAUAGUCCAUUUCGUGCUACACAUCAGCCGAGCAGCAUUGCAACUUUGUCACGUUCUUCAAGAUGAUGGUCAGACUGUUGAUUUGCCUCAGAUUUGUUGUAAUCGGUUAUCUUCUGAACCUCAGCAUUGGUUUCUCUUGUGCUGAUAUCCAAAGCAUCAGUUCUAGUUGUUUUCACGACAUUUGCUGAGAUUUUAAUGCAAAAGCCUGAUUUUUAGUUGACA
Molecule: ribosomal RNA, 1547 nt
Filed under: Triticum aestivum (bread wheat)
Lineage: Eukaryota; Viridiplantae; Streptophyta; Magnoliopsida; Poales; Poaceae
Description: partial small subunit ribosomal RNA
Source: RNAcentral